CCGGGAGACAGUGUCAGGUGGGCAGUUUGACUGGGGCGGUCGCCUCCUAAAGUGUAACGGAGGCGCCCAAAGGUUCCCUCAGAAUGGUUGGAAAUCAUUCGUAGAGUGCAAAGGCAUAAGGGAGCUUGACUGCGAGACCUACAAGUCGAGCAGGGACGAAAGUCGGGCUUAGUGAUCCGGUGGUUCCGCAUGGAAGGGCCAUCGCUCAACGGAUAAAAGCUACCCCGGGGAUAACAGGCUUAUCUCCCCCAAGAGUCCACAUCGACGGGGAGGUUUGGCACCUCGAUGUCGGCUCAUCGC
Molecule: ribosomal RNA, 300 nt
Filed under: Xanthomonas oryzae pv. oryzae
Lineage: Bacteria; Pseudomonadati; Pseudomonadota; Gammaproteobacteria; Lysobacterales; Lysobacteraceae
Description: bacterial LSU rRNA
Rfam family: Bacterial large subunit ribosomal RNA
Source: RNAcentral